This 790-nucleotide ribosomal RNA is filed under the name uncultured bacterium. RNAcentral describes it as "bacterial SSU rRNA". It matches the Rfam family "Bacterial small subunit ribosomal RNA", at positions 8 to 789 of the family's 1533-position model. The record is from RNAcentral.
AGGGUUUGAUCCUGGCUCAGAUUGAACGCUGGCGGUAUGCUUAACACAUGCAAGUCGAACGGUAACAGAUCUAGCUUGCUAGAUGCUGACGAGUGGCGGACGGGUGAGUAAUGCGUAGGGAUCUACCUUAUAGUGGGGGAUAACUUGGGGAAACUCAGGCUAACACCGCAUGUGCCCUAAGGGGUAAAGCAGGGGACCGCAAGGCCUUGUGCUAUAAGACGAACCUGCGUCGGAUUAGCUAGUUGGUGGGGUAAAGGCCUACCAAGGCGAUGAUCCGUAGCUGUUCUGAGAGGAAGAUCAGCCACACUGGGACUGAGACACGGCCCAGACUCCUACGGGAGGCAGCAGUGGGGAAUAUUGGACAAUGGGCGCAAGCCUGAUCCAGCAAUACCGCGUGUGUGAAGAAGGCCUUAGGGUUGUAAAGCACUUUCAGUAAGGAGGAAAGGCUUAUGGUUAAUAACUAUAAGAGUUGACGUUACUUACAGAAGAAGCACCGGCUAACUCUGUGCCAGCAGCCGCGGUAAUACAGAGGGUGCGAGCGUUAAUCGGAAUUACUGGGCGUAAAGGGUGCGUAGGUGGUAAUAUAAGUCAAAUGUGAAAGCCCUGGGCUUAACCUAGGAAUUGCAUAUGAAACUGUAUAACUGGAGUAUGGUAGAGGGAAGUGGAAUUUCCGGUGUAGCGGUGAAAUGCGUAGAUAUCGGAAGGAACAUCAGUGGCGAAGGCGACUUCCUGGACCAAAACUGACACUGAGGCACGAAAGCGUGGGUAGCAAACAGGAUUAGAUACCCUG